GUUUUUUUUUAACAUGGGAGAGCACUUAACAGGACGGGUUCUCGCAGAAACGAUAUAUAUUUAGGUCAAAUCUGUUUUAUCGGGGUUAUUAGAUUCUCUUGGCCCAACUGUAGUGUCAAAUAUCAAACCGAUGUUAUCUUAUUAAAAAAUUAUAUUAACAUCAACUUAAAUUGUUAAAUGAUCUACAUACAUGAAUUUUACCCCAUUAUUUAUUUUUAUUUGUCGUCUUCGAUUGUCCAUAAUUUCUAAUCUGUAAUGCCAAAUUUGAUGAUCUUCAACUCGUUAAAAAAACCAAACCAUAGAGAU
RNAcentral lists this small RNA (306 nucleotides) under Arabidopsis thaliana (thale cress). RNAcentral's name for it is "ATSL058920". The record is from RNAcentral. Lineage: Eukaryota; Viridiplantae; Streptophyta; Magnoliopsida; Brassicales; Brassicaceae.